GCUCAGUGUAGUCCUUUUCCUGGUUGGAGGCCCACGGCCGGCUAGAUUUCGACCUGGACCCUCUCAUCUGCCCUUCUCCACCGAGCAGGUGGAAGAGUGGUGGCGGGAAUGCGCCAGCUCUGACCUCCCUGCGGUGCGCGCUGCGGGGCUGGGAGCAACUGUGCUGGGUUCUGAGGCCCAUGCGGGUGCCUUCUUGGAGCCGCGCCAGCACCAGAAAUCGCCCGGGCUCGGAGUCCCAAUUAGAGGCGAUGGUAUCGUUUUACAUUCCUAGCAUCAGUGUACGAGGCCCAGUUCCUCCACAUCCUCGCCAACACGUGUACUUUAAUCAGCAUUUAAUGACCCAGUCGAAAAUUCAUUGUUUGGACCCAAGCACUGGUGGGAAAGGCAGGAGGGGAGGCCUGCCUUCCUUCCUCCCUCCCGAGCCCUACAGCAGGCCAUGGAGUGGUGAGCGAGUUCGUACAGUGCCAACCACAUUCCCAGAAACUUCCAGCAGAGGUUAAUCCUGCUCCUCUCAGGUGGGCUUGGCCCAUUCUCUAGACUUUGGAAGGUAAUGUUCUAUAGAGGCCUGUUCUGAAGCUUUACCAGGUCAAACCGGAGAAGAACCCAACAAGUAACUCAUCCCAGCCUAACUAUUCUUCAAGGGCAAUCAACCUACAGCAUCCAAGCACAGAGAAAUCAAAUCCAUGGAGAAUCUUCAAAUUAGGCUCAGAAUCCAUUUGGGUCAAUGAAUUUACUGUUAUUAAGAUCUUAGUUGUGUUCAACCAUGAUUUGACAUACCUUAGAGUGAGAAGAUAUUCUUCCUGGCCUCAGACUAGUUGAAGGUAGAGAGAGAGACAGGCCCUUGGGUGUGGGGAGACCUCUCCUGGGAUAAUACACACAAAAAACCAAGAGCUGCUCACUGUGGUGCAGGAGACAGCAGGGCCUGAAGCCAGAGGCUCUGUGUCCUUGAAUACAAUGUUUUACUCCUCUGACCCCUGUUACUGUGAUUUGGAGAGGCAGACAAUAUAGGAUGGGCUUUGCAGGCAGGGAGGUCCAGUUAUAAUCCCAGCUCUUACUAAGUUGGGUAAGACUCACUCUGAGACUUAGUUUCUUCUGUCAUCUCUCAAUAGAAUCAUAAAGGUACUUUCCUCUUAGUGUUGUUUUAAAAUUCAGUAAAAUAAUGCAGGCUUAGCACAGGGUCUGAUGUAAAUUUUCAAUGAAUUAUCGUUGUCAAUAUUGUUCUGGAAAACAAGAGGGCAUAUUAGAAGAUCAAAAGUACUGCCAAGCAUUGAAGUGCCAAUUCUAGAUCCAGUCUCAGCCCUCUGAGAAUGGAUAUCAUUGUUUUCAAGCCAUUCAGAAACCAAUGUGAAUUGAACACCUAGUAUGAGCUCUCUGAGGGAAGAGCCAAGUCAUGCAUUUUUUAUCUUAAGGGGUCUUCAAUACCUCUAGCCCAAAACAGUAUCUCCAUCAGGAUUCUUCUCUGAUAGUGUUCAUUUCUUUUUUCUCAAUGGAUGCCUUAAAAAAAAAAUCCUACAAGGAAACCUGUACUCCUCAAAUACACCACUCAGGUGACCAUUAAAUCAUUUACAUUGUUAAUUUCUUUUCAGAUGUGUGUCUUUUUCCCUAGUUACAUCAUCAGGACCUUGAAGGUAGGGACAGGUCUUAGAUUUCUUGAUGCCCCCAUAAAUCUAGGUACAGAGUAGGUCUCUGGACAUCAGUAUAAGGCCCAUGAGCCUGAUAGCUGCCCAGGUGGGUGCUGUGUGCCUGGGCGUGGGAAGGACAAAAGAGAGGUCACUAAAGGGGUUCCUGGGAAGGAAGAGCCCCUCUGACUUUAAAAGGGAGCCCAUACACUUUUUGGACAACUGGAAUAAUCAGAAAGCUGUUUUUGGGGAGGCAGCAGCCAGAAAAACCUGGGGCAUUGGGUCAACCAAAGCCCUUCCCAAGGCUGCAGUGGCUGCAGCUAGUUAGCCCAGCUUCCCUACCAGCCCCAGGGCUGCAACUGAACAGUGUUGGCUUCUUAAUAAAAACAG
Molecule: long non-coding RNA, 2009 nt
Filed under: Homo sapiens (human)
Lineage: Eukaryota; Metazoa; Chordata; Mammalia; Primates; Hominidae
Description: HSALNT0164548
Source: RNAcentral